GGUUGUGGACGAGCGGGGAAAAGCGCAGGCGAUCGUUUCCAUGCGCAACCUGCUUGAAGAAAAGGUCCGGGAACUCCACCAGCAGCUCGAUUCGCUGGAGUCGUACAUCACCGCAGACGGCAUCGGCGGAUAACUACUCAACAGAGGAAAAAUGCGGCAUCUGACUGUUCGGUCUGUGAUUCUUGUGCUGGCCAUCACGGUUCUGCCGUGGAGUAUUGCGGCGUUUGGUCAGUUUGGCGGAGGCAGGCCUCAAGGGCAGGGCGGCGGUUAUGCAAGUGGGAUGACCGGCGGAGAAUGCCUCCUCGCUGGCGUUCGAAUGGGAGGAAACGGAUCGCAAGAUACUUCAGAACCCAGG
RNAcentral lists this unclassified non-coding RNA (355 nucleotides) under uncultured bacterium. RNAcentral's name for it is "contains 16S-23S intergenic spacer region". The record is from RNAcentral.